GGAUGUGAGGGCGAUCUGGCUGUGACAUCUAUCACCCCGUUGAUGGCCAGGGUUGAUCGGGCUGAUCUAUCUGGUUAGGUGCGUGUCCCCUUCUUCUUUGCCCCUCAUGUGCGUCCCUCCCGAAGCUGCCCGCUGGGUGGAAGACAACGACCUCCCCUGAUAGAGGAGGACUGAUCAGCUGUGAACGGUAUACAAGUAGCUACGCUCCCCCACUAGACCCUCCUAACAAGCUUUCAAGGUCCACUUGUAGGAGAAUGUAGAGCAGUCAAGCUUCCAAGACCCCAGACACAUCCAAAUGAGGCGCUGCAUAUGGCGUUCUGCCUUUUUCU
RNAcentral lists this small nuclear RNA (329 nucleotides) under Ailuropoda melanoleuca (giant panda). Its description in RNAcentral is "7SK RNA". It matches the Rfam family "7SK RNA". From Rfam's summary of the family: 7SK was discovered as an abundant small nuclear RNA in the mid-70s but a possible function has only recently been suggested. Two independent studies have found that 7SK RNA binds the CDK9/cyclin T complex (known as elongation factor P-TEFb). The record is from Rfam by way of RNAcentral. Lineage: Eukaryota; Metazoa; Chordata; Mammalia; Carnivora; Ursidae.